RNAcentral lists this ribosomal RNA (492 nucleotides) under uncultured bacterium. RNAcentral describes it as "partial 16S ribosomal RNA". It matches the Rfam family "Bacterial small subunit ribosomal RNA", at positions 29 to 507 of the family's 1533-position model. The record is from RNAcentral.
AGUGAACGCUGGCGGUAGGCCUAACACAUGCAAGUCGCACGGCAGCACAGUAAGAGCUUGCUCUUACGGGUGGCGAGUGGCGGACGGGUGAGGAAUACAUCGGAAGCUACUUUUUCGUGGGGGAUAACGUAGGGAAACUUACGCUAAUACCGCAUACGACCUACGGGUGAAAGCAGGGGAUCUUCGGACCUUGCGCGAUUGAAUGAGCCGAUGUCGGAUUAGCUAGUUGGCGGGGUAAAGGCCCACCAAGGCGACGAUCCGUAGCUGGUCUGAGAGGAUGAUCAGCCACACUGGAACUGAGACACGGUCCAGACUCCUACGGGAGGCAGCAGUGGGGAAUAUUGGACAAUGGGCGCAAGCCUGAUCCAGCCAUACCGCGUGGGUGAAGAAGGCCUUCGGGUUGUAAAGCCCUUUUGUUGGGAAAGAAAAGCAGCAGGUUAAUACCCCGCUGUUCUGACGGUACCCAAAGAAUAAGCACCGGCUAACUUCGUG